CCAAAGGCCCUUUUUAGGGCCACCAUGUGGUCAUCGGGAGAGCUGU
Dipodomys ordii (Ord's kangaroo rat) is the source of this 46-nucleotide non-coding RNA. The record is from Rfam. Lineage: Eukaryota; Metazoa; Chordata; Mammalia; Rodentia; Heteromyidae.